GAUGAACGCUGGCGGCGUGCCUAAUACAUGCAAGUCGAGCGAACAGACGAUGAGCUUGCUCCUCUGACGUUAGCGGCGGACGGGUGAGUAACACGUGGAUAACCUACCUAUAAGACUGGGAUAACUUCGGGAAACCGGAGCUAAUACCGGAUAAUAUAUUGAACCGCAUGGUUCAAUAGUGAAAGACGGUUUUGCUGUCACUUAUAGAUGGAUCCGCGCCGCAUUAGCUAGUUGGUAAGGUAACGGCUUACCAAGGCGACGAUGCGUAGCCGACCUGAGAGGGUGAUCGGCCACACUGGAACUGAGACACGGUCCAGACUCCUACGGGAGGCAGCAGUAGGGAAUCUUCCGCAAUGGGCGAAAGCCUGACGGAGCAACGCCGCGUGAGUGAUGAAGGUCUUCGGAUCGUAAAGCUCUGUUAUUAGGGAAGAACAAAUGUGUAAGUAACUAUGCACGUCUUGACGGUACCUAAUCAGAAAGCCACGGCUAACUACGUG
RNAcentral lists this ribosomal RNA (497 nucleotides) under uncultured bacterium. RNAcentral's name for it is "partial 16S ribosomal RNA". It matches the Rfam family "Bacterial small subunit ribosomal RNA", at positions 28 to 507 of the family's 1533-position model. The record is from RNAcentral.